Molecule: ribosomal RNA, 774 nt
Filed under: uncultured Neocallimastigales
Lineage: Eukaryota; Fungi; Neocallimastigomycota; Neocallimastigomycetes; Neocallimastigales
Description: partial large subunit ribosomal RNA
Rfam family: Eukaryotic large subunit ribosomal RNA
Source: RNAcentral
UCAGACGAUGCGUCAUGCAUAUCAAUAAGCGGAGGAAAAGAAACUAACAAGGAUUCCCCUAGUAACGGCGAGUGAAGCGGGAAGAGCUCAAAUUUGAAAUCUUAAAGGGUUUCCCUUUACGAAUUGUAGUUUAAAGAAGUGUUUUCUGUUGAGGUUUUGGUAAAAGUUCUUUGGAAUAGGACAUCAUAGAGGGUGAGAAUCCCGUAUUUGACCUUUACUUCCAACUUUGUGAUACACUUUCAAAGAGUCGGAUUGUUUGGGAAUGCAGUCCAAAAUGGGUGGUAAAUUUCAUCUAAAGCUAAAUAUUGGCGAGAGACCGAUAGCGAACAAGUACCGUGAGGGAAAGAUGAAAAGAACUUUGAAAAGAGAGUUAAACAGUACGUGAAAUUGUCAAAAGGGAAGCGUUUGACACCAGUGUUGUUUUUCUGAAAAUCAAUUAAAGAACUGUUUAUGCUAAGUUGUUUAGACUUUAUCAGCUAACUGUUUAGUUUUGAGCUUUUCUUUAAUGCACUUUUCAGUUAACAAGUCAACAUCAAUUUCUUUUGCUGUAAAAAAGCUUGAGGAAGGUGGCUUGAGAUUCGUCUUAAGUGUUUAUAGCCUCUUGCCUAUGCAGUCGGAGAGAUUGAGGUCUGCAGCGUAGAUCCUUCGGGGCUAAAUGCAUUUGUGCUAAGUUAUAGCAUUUUAUAGACAACUUGUUGACUAUGAUUUGUCUUGUAGCUUACUCGCUUAUGUUAUUUUACCUACGCUUAGGAUGUUGAAGAUGUAGCACAUCAU